GUUGCUGGAUCAGGGAAUUCUGGGCGACCCUGGAGCGCCUGGCGAUCUGGAAUUGCGGGACGACGCCGGAGCUGUGAUCCAGGGGAAGGAGGACUUGUCCACGCCGCCGGUCGUGAGAGCUCGCGUCGGUGCUUCGCGGGCAGGCCGGACUUCGCCGGCAAGACAACUGCACCGGCGAAUUUUUUGGUCUGUUUGUUUUUCAGAGGUUGGUUCAUCUCAGGUGGAGGGUAUGGUUGUUUUCAAUCCUAUCUCCUCUUGGCUAUCACUUCGUGAUGGAGAUGAUGAUAUUCUUGCCGGACGGUACUUCGAGGGUGUUCAGUUCGCGGCAGGUUUUUGUUUCAAGGUUGAUAUUUACUUUGUUCGUUGUGUAUCUGAGAUCUUUCAUCAGCCGGUGGCGCCCGAAAUUGCUCAGGUAUGCAAUAUCUCCUCUGACGACGAAGGCAACGAUGGAGCGGUCUUGAGUUCAAGCCCGAGUAGGGGGAAGUUUUGGGACUGCCACUCGGAUGCGGAGGAGGACGACGAACAAGUUCAGUUCCAGAAUGUAGGCAGGGAUGCCCCUGAUUGCACAGCUGGGAUCGUGAAGAAUACGUCGCCGGUCUCUCCGCUCAGCCCGUCGCCAUCUCCGGCAGCCAUGCUGGACGCCAGGAUCGUACACGAUCCUAUUCUGCAGAGGAAGAAGACGCAGGGGAUUGCUAGGAAGCCAUGGGUCGGUGCAUUGCCUAAGGUAAACCUCCCUCCCCUUGUGUUGUCAGAUUUUUUCAAGCCCGAUUGCUGGGUUACUGGGAGGCGUAGUUCGAAGAACCAUCUUAAACCGGCAAGGAUAGUUCCUCCGGCGUUGAUUGUGCCUUCAACUCGGGCCAAUAGACAACAAUUUUUGUUGUCAGUUCUUGCGGCGGAGAGUCCCGCUGAUCAGGCGCCAAUCUCGCCGAGUCCAGGGUGUAUGGCCCUCACCGACGCAGCGGUGCUUGACCUGGUUACGGGUUCGACUCCAACUGAGAAUAAUUGUCACGAUGUGGGCCUUGAUGGUCUGGCGUGCAAGGUAGUAUCUCCUUGGCCGAAUCCUGCUGGGGGUUCAGAUCAACCUAUCUUAACCGCUGAGAACGAUUGUGGAUCAAUCAGAGUUCGUCGCGGGCGCCCAGGUUUUCCUAGGUUGGGAGUCGGCCGCGCGGCGUUUGUUCUUGCCGCUGCUGAUCUCUCGAUCAUGGCAGGGAGGGGUACUGCUCCGCCAGCUAAGUUGCCGCCGCCCAAGGUGAUGUCUGGGAAGGGGCCGCCUCCGGCCGGGGCUUCGCACGCACCGCUGCCGUCUGGGGCGUCUGCCUCGCAGCGUCCUUUGCAGCAAUCGGCGCGCCAGGGGAAUCAGCUGGCUGCGAGGGGGAUGACCCAGGGGAGUCGGCCGCCAGCCCAGGUGCCCAGGAACUUGCAACAGCAGGGUGCAGGAGGGUCUGGGGGGCCUGAAACGAAUCAAGGGCAGUCUCGCAGCCGGUGGGGAGACGAUGGAGUUGGUGCCUACGGUCAUGGCCAGCAUCGCGGUGCUUCUUCUGCUGGAGGCGGUCGGGGUGCUUGGCAGGGGCCUCCGGGGAAUUUUGUGCAAGGUGUUGCUGGUCCUUCGCAUCCUAAGAGAGGGGGCUAUAGGCAGAAUUGGGCUGCUCGAGGCGGAGGCAGAAAGUCUAAGCAUUCGCUGCCAACUCCUGAGGUUCUUGAACCAAUAGCGGAGGUGCAGGUUCAGGGGCGGUCUGGGAGCCCUGCUGCUGCGUUACUACCGGGGCCUGGAGAUGCUGAGGGUCCGACUCAGCUCAAGGACAGCACUAUUGUUAAAUCAGAUGGGGGAGAUAGACCAUCUAAGUGGGCGCGCAAGAAGGAAAAGAUGACGUGCUACCGCUGUGGUGAGAAUGGUCACUUUGUGUCCGAAUGUACAGCGGAAUUAUGUGAGUUCUGUCUCAAACCAGUACAUGGUCUACUUAAGUGUCCUCUCACAGUUGGAAUUAUGCCGACAGUAGCGAUUUAUGGGACUUGUUGUGAGGACCUAAUGUUUUUUGAGUCACCUGCUGGGACUUCUGCGGUGCAUGCUCCCGAUGUAACCCUUACUGGUAAGGUGACUGUGGCCAGUGGGUCUAUGACUGCAGACCAGGUUGGCCAGCAACUGAGAGAGCUGGUGUCUUCUUCUUUUCGAUGGGACCCUAUUGCUGUUGCUGACAAUGUGUUCAAGGUUGUUUUUCCUUCCAAGGAAGACUUGGCGCGGCUGCUGAAAUUCGGUAUGUGCAGAGUGCCAAGCACGUGCUAUAUCUUAGAGUUUGAUUCCUGGAAGGGUGAUGAGCCUCAGGGGACUCCGCUGGAUCAGAUUUGGGUCCGGUUUGCGGGCGUACCGUCGAAGGCGGUGAGUGAUUUUCAUGUUGCUUGGAGCCUUGGGUCAUUGAUAGGAAAGACUGAGAAGGUGGACAUGGUGUUUUCUCGCGCCAAAGGGGUUGCGCGGAUGUUGGUCAGUGUGAUUGAUAUUGGACUUGUGCCAGAUGAGGUCCUUUGGGUUUAUGAGGGUAUGAGGUAUACUCUUCGCUUAGAGAUUGAGAGACCUCUCAUGGUUGUUGAUGAGGAGAAACAAACAGAUGCAGAUAUGUUUGAUGGGGAUGAUGAGUCCCGUGCUAAGGAGUCAGACAAGGACGGGGCAGCCUCCAACCAUGCCGUUUUGCCGAAUGAUCCUAAGACACCGACUGCAGGUGGAGCGGGUAUGUCCGCACCGGUAACACAGGUGCGUUUUGGUUCUUUGGAGCCGGCUUCUGCACCUGCAAGGUUCAUUGCCUCGGCGAGGGACGCCGGGCUGGGUAGAAAGGUCCGGUUGUCUAUUCCUGGGAAGCAGAGAUCUUCGACGGCAUUGCAGCCCUCUUCGCCGGUGGUUGGGUUGCCGUCAGUUUCUUUGGAGCAGUAUUUUGCUAAGGCUAAGGGUGACUCCAUGCUGCCGCAGCAGGUUGAGCCAGGCAUGGCGGUAGAUGCCACUGUGGAGGAGCACGCUCUGCAGGGUGGAGGCCAGGGAGUAACAUCCCAGUCUGUUGGGGCGGUAGCGACGUCUACUGGAGUACCGGAUGCUCCAACAGAUGUGCUGGUGGCAGCUGAUGCUCUUGCGCCAGUGGAGGUUGCCGAUCAGCAGAGGACUCAGGAUUCGGGAGUGAUGUUUCAGCUAGACUCUGUGCUGCCUCAGCUGGCGACAGAGGAGGGGUCGGCGCCUAUUUCGGCCUCACAGGUGAGUCCGAUUUUGGAGCCAGUUGAGCAGGAGGUGACAUCUUUCACGGAGGAGGUGUCAGCUACUUUCCCGGCGCCAGAGGUGAGUCUGAUAGUGGAGCCGGUGGUGCAGGAGGUGGCAUCUUUCACUGAGGAGGAUGUUGUUGCGUUUGGGGGCCUCACAAAUCCCAUGACUCAGGACAGGCGUUCCAGUCAGCGUAUUCAGAUGCAACCUGACGCGGAUGACUUGCAGUUGGGCCGUGCAAUGCGAGCUGCAAAAAUUAGAAAUGCGGAAUACUCCACAGGUAUGUCUUUUCACAAAGACAACUCUAUUCUGCAUUUCUCUCCGCAUGAUAUUAUUGAUAAUGCUGCCGAUAUUGGGGUCUCCUUGGGUGAUACUGGUAGGCAAAUUUCGAAAUCAAUUAAUGACCUUCUAGACUUAGAAGUAGAUAGGGCUCUUGACAUUAUUCGAAAUCUUGCGGCCGUUAAACCUAUGAAUGAUUCUGCGAUUAAUGAGCUGGGGGGGUCUGAACACUCUAUGUGAGAAUUUAGACAUCACUGCUGAUUUGGAGGAGACAGAGGCUUCUAACAUACAGCUAAGUUCCGAGGAGACACUUUCUUCGCCAGUUGACCUCAGAACUUCUGGUUAUAUGGACCAGGAGGUUCUGGAGAAACCAAAACGACCUUGGAAACGGAAGGUAUAUCCGGUUUCCGCGGUUCGAAGGAGUGCUCGCGCUAGGACUGCCAAAAUUUUUUAUGAUGAAAGAUGAGAGGCAUCUUUUGGAAUAGCAGAGGUCUUCGGGACUUGGCUAAAAUAAGAUUUCUUGCUGAGGCAACGUUAGAGCAUCACCUCGAUUUUAUUGCGCUCAUGGAGACUGGGAGAGACAAUUUUACUUCCCAGUUUUUGAGUUCCUUAACCGCGGGUGUGGAUUUUAGCUGGCAUUGUCUCCCUCCAAGAGGAAGAUCCGGUGGGAUCUUACUUGGAGUAAGAUGUGAUACACUUCAUGUUCAGGAAGCGGUACUGGGGGAUUUUGUGGUUAAAUUCCGAAUUAAAUCCAAAGUGGAUGGAUUCCAAUGGGCUCUGGUUGCAGUGUAUGGGGCUGCUCAACAGGAGCUUAAAUCUGAAUUUCUGGCUGAUCUAGUUCGGAUAUGUGAUGAGAAAUUACCGCUGUUGAUUGGUGGUGAUUUCAAUAUCAUUAGGAGAGCUGACGAAAAGAACAAUGACAAUUUUGAUGGCAGAUGGCCUUUUAUGUUUAACUCUAUUAUUGAGAGCCUCGAUCUUAGGGAGAUUGAGCUCUCAGGUAGAAAAUUUACUUGGGCCAACUCCCUUCAAAACCAGACUUUCGAAAAACUAGACAGGGUUCUUACUAGCACUGAAUGGGAACAGAAAUUCCCCCUAGUAACGGUGCGAGCGCUUCAGAGAGCAAUUUCGGACCACACAGCUUUGCUGUUGGACUCUGGUAGUGCUAUACAUAUGGGCAACAAAUUAGGUUUCUCCUUUGAGCUAAGCUGGUUUACUAGGGAGGGGUUUUUAGAUUUGGUUGCCCGGGAAUGGAAUCAAGAGUUGGGUGGGACAUCCAACAUUGAUAGAUGGCAAAACAAAAUUAGACAUCUUAGACAAUACCUUCGUGGUUGGGCUAAGAACGUCUCUGGGAGCUAUAAGGAUGAGCAAGACAGGCUCAUUAAACUUAUAGACGAUCUAGACCGUAAGGCUGAGACUAUUAUCCUGGAUUUUAAUGAGAGAUCAUUAAAGAAUCAGGCUGAACAACGUCUUAGAGCUCUCCUUAGAGAAGAGGAAUCGAAAUGGGCGAGCAGAGCUAAAGUUCGGGCGAUUGUUCAUGGGGAUAAUAAUACUAAAAUUUUUCACCUGAUUGCUAAUGGCAAGCAUCGGAAAAAGAGAAUCAUUCAGCUCGAGCAAGAUGAAGGAACGAUUGUAGGUCAUGAAAACCUAAAAUUGUAUAUCUCUAAUUAUUACAAAAAGUUAUUUGGUGCUUCUGACCAUAGUUUUGUGACUAUGGAUGAGCAUCAAGUAGCGGAUAUACCUCAAGUCGGAGAGUCUGACAAGGAGUUAUUAUCAGCCCCUUUUACGGAGAAAGAGGUGUUGGAGGCUAUCGGGGAGAUGAAGAGUGGUAAAGCUCCUGGGCCAGACGGGUUUCCGGCUGAGUUUUACAAGAAAUGUUGGCAUAUUAUCAAGGAGGAUCUUAUGGCAAUGUUUCAUGAUUUGUAUGCAGGUCAGCUUCAACUCUUUCAUUUGAAUUUUGGUACUAUUACGUUGUUACCAAAGAAAGAGGGGGCGACUCGUAUUGAGCAGUUUCGCCCAAUCUGUUUGCUUAACGUCAGUUUCAAAAUUUUCACGAAGGUGGGAACAGAUAGGUUAACAAAGAUGGCACAUUCCGUUGUGCAAUCUACGCAAACAGCCUUUAUGCCUGGGCGGAACAUUUUGGAAGGUGUCGUUGUGCUACAUGAAACACUGCACGAAAUCCAUUCGAAGAAACUUGAUGGUGUUAUCUUCAAGGUGGAUUUUGAAAAGGCCUAUGAUAAAGUCAAAUGGUCUUUUUUGCAGCAAACCCUUCGUAUGAAGGGGUUCGAUGAGCUCUGGAGAAAGCAUGUCGAUUGUUUCAUAAAAAAUGGCAGUGUCGGGAUUAAGGUUAAUGAUGACGUAGGUCACUUCUUUCAGACACUCAAGGGUCUCCGGCAAGGGGACCCAAUGUACCCUAUUCUAUUCAACAUUGUUGCUGACAUGUUGGCCCUUUUGAUUAAGAGGGCUAAGGAUAAGGAUAUGAUUGGGGGGCUCAUCCUGCACCUUGUGGAUGGGGGAGUUUCGAUACUACAAUAUGCCGAUGACACCAUUCUGUUUAUGGAACAUGACCUGGUUAAAGCUAGGAAUUUGAAACUCAUACUUUGCCUGUUUGAGCAGCUAUCUGGGCUGAAAAUUAACUUCAAUAAAAGUGAGGUGUUCUGUUUUGGUAGAGCCAAAAGUGAACAACACACUUAUAAUCAAUUGUUCGGUUGUGAAACUGGGAAAUUACCCUUUACGUAUUUAGGGAUUCCUAUUCAUCACCGACGUUUAUCAAACAAGGAAUGGAAAUGUAUCGAGGAUCGCUUUGAGAAAAAGCUGAGUUGCUGGAAGGGCAAGCUUCUUUCUUAUGGAGGACGGCUAGUGCUGAUAAACUCAGUACUAACGAGUAUGCCCAUGUUUCUCCUAUCCUUCUUCGAAGUUCCCGUUGGGGUACGGAAAAGACUGGAUUUCUAUCGAUCCCGGUUCUUCUGGCAAAGUGAUGAGCUUAAGGUCAAGUAUAAGCUGACUAGAUGGGAUAUUAUUUGUAGACCCAAAGAUCAGGGUGGUUUAGGAAUUGAAAAUUUAGAGAUUAAAAAUAGGUGUCUACUCAGCAGAUGGCUGUUUAGAUUAUCUUUGGAAACCGAAGGUAUGUGGGUACAAAUUUUGAAGAACAAGUACUUACAGAACAAAUCAUUAUCUCAGGUUACAGCUCAUCCAACGGAUUCUCCUUUCUGGAGAGGGUUGAUGCGGACUAAAAAUGCUUUCUUCUGUAGAACUAGAUUCAUCAUUGGUAAUGGUGAAUCGACUAGCUUCUGGGAAGAUACUUGGUUAGGGGAGAUGCCUCUAGCAUUUCAAUAUCCGCAGCUGUACCAUAUUGCACAACGGCAGCAAGCAUCCGUUGCGUCAGUACUUAGCGAGAUUCCUCUGAAUAUUCAAUUCCGCAGAUCUCUUAUUGGGAGUAGAUGGAUCAGCUGGCUGCAUCUUGUGAGAAGGUUGAUGGAUGUCAACCUGUCUCACACUCCUGACCGUGUAUAUUGGAAGUUGACUAGCAAUGGAAUAUUCACGGUUAAAUCGAUGUAUUUGAAUCUCAUCGAUUCUACACCUAUUCCAAAAUCGGCACAUAUUUGGAAGAUCAAAGUCCCUCUUAGAGUCAAAGUCUUUAUGUGGUUUGUUCAUAAAGGGGUAAUUCUAAUGAAAGAUAAUCUUGCCAAGCGAAAUUGAAAUGGUAACUCUAGAUGCAGUUUCUGUCCGGCUAAAGAAACAAUACAACACCUCUUUCUUACUUGUCCUAUGGCUAAGCUGGUUUGGCGUUCGCUACAUAUUGCUUUUAACAUCAUUCCUCCAAACAGUAUAACCACGUUAUUUGGGAUGUGGCUAAAUGAGGUGGAUGUACAUUCUGCUAAACUUAUUCGCGUGGGGUCUUGUGCACUGUUGUGGGCAAUUUGGAAUUGCAGGAAUGACUUGGUGUUUAACAGACAACGCGAUUUUCACUUCCUGCAGGUUAUUCACAGAGCUACCGCACUGAUCCGCACUUGGUCAUCACUCACUCCUGUGGUCGCCAGGGAACCUAUGGGUACUGGGUGUGUCCGAUGGGAGAUGGUAGCACAGGGUAUCUUCAACCGGUUUGGAUGGCGUCAUGUUAAUAGGAUAGGUGUUUAGUCAUCUAUUUAUUUGUUUGCCAUCUCCGGCUUGGGCAUGAGUAAUGCCUUGUAUCGUUCUUUUCUUCUUUUCCCUUUUUGCUUCAGACAUUUUGUACUCGGUGGAGACUUUUUUUGGCUAAUAAUAUAUGGCCGUAUGCAUCACUCGAUGCAGAAGCCGGGGCUCGACCUCC
This 7820-nucleotide long non-coding RNA is filed under the name Hordeum vulgare. RNAcentral describes it as "long non-coding RNA (HVUL_LNC020329)". The record is from RNAcentral. Lineage: Eukaryota; Viridiplantae; Streptophyta; Magnoliopsida; Poales; Poaceae.